GACGAACGCUGGCGGCGUGCUUAACACAUGCAAGUCGAACGGAAAGGCCCUGCUUGCCGGGUACUCGAGUGGCGAACGGGUGAGUAACACGUGGGUGAUCUGCCCUGCACUUCGGGAUAAGCCUGGGAAACUGGGUCUAAUACCGGAUAGGAGCCAUUUUUAGUGUGAUGGUUGGAAAGUUUUUUCGGUGUAGGAUGAGCUCGCGGCCUAUCAGCUUGUUGGUGGGGUAAUGGCCUACCAAGGCGGCGACGGGUAGCCGGCCUGAGAGGGUGGACGGCCACAUUGGGACUGAGAUACGGCCCAGACUCCUACGGGAGGCAGCAGUGGGGAAUAUUGCACAAUGGGCGCAAGCCUGAUGCAGCGACGCCGCGUGGGGGAUGACGGCCUUCGGGUUGUAAACUCCUUUCGCUAGGGACGAAGCUUUUUGUGACGGCACCUAGAUAAGAAGCACCGGCUAACUACGUG
This 465-nucleotide ribosomal RNA is filed under the name uncultured bacterium. RNAcentral describes it as "partial 16S ribosomal RNA". It matches the Rfam family "Bacterial small subunit ribosomal RNA", at positions 28 to 507 of the family's 1533-position model. The record is from RNAcentral.